This 586-nucleotide ribosomal RNA is filed under the name uncultured Flavobacterium sp. RNAcentral describes it as "bacterial SSU rRNA". It matches the Rfam family "Bacterial small subunit ribosomal RNA", at positions 335 to 916 of the family's 1533-position model. The record is from RNAcentral. Lineage: Bacteria; Pseudomonadati; Bacteroidota; Flavobacteriia; Flavobacteriales; Flavobacteriaceae.
GUCCUACGGGAGGCAGCAGUGAGGAAUAUUGGACAAUGGAGGCAACUCUGAUCCAGCCAUGCCGCGUGCAGGAAGACGGCCCUACGGGUUGUAAACUGCUUUUAUACAGGAAGAAACGCCGCUACGUGUAGCGGUUUGACGGUACUGUACGAAUAAGGAUCGGCUAACUCCGUGCCAGCAGCCGCGGUAAUACGGAGGAUCCAAGCGUUAUCCGGAAUCAUUGGGUUUAAAGGGUCCGUAGGCGGUUUUUUAAGUCAGAGGUGAAAUCCUGCAGCUCAACUGUAGCAUUGCCUUUGAUACUGAAAGACUUGAGUUAUUGUGAAGUAGUUAGAAUGUGUAGUGUAGCGGUGAAAUGCAUAGAUAUUACACAGAAUACCGAUUGCGAAGGCAGAUUACUAACAAUAUACUGACGCUGAGGGACGAAAGCGUGGGUAGCGAACAGGAUUAGAUACCCUGGUAGUCCACGCCGUAAACGAUGGAUACUAGCUGUUCGACCAACAUUGGUUGGUUGAGUGGCUAAGCGAAAGUGAUAAGUAUCCCACCUGGGGAGUACGCUCGCAAGAGUGAAACUCAAAGGAAUUGACGG